Hyaena hyaena (striped hyena) is the source of this 287-nucleotide long non-coding RNA. RefSeq lists it as uncharacterized. The record is from RefSeq and is a predicted model, not a curated record. The transcript has 3 exons. Lineage: Eukaryota; Metazoa; Chordata; Mammalia; Carnivora; Hyaenidae.
AGCAAGUUCUUGCUGCAAAUUCAUAACUGGGGAGAUUCCUACUUGGCUCCCGUAUGGGUCUGUAUGCUGACUGAGAAAAUACAGAUGUGAUUGGAGCGUCAUUUUCCUAACUGCCUGCAGCAUUCUGCUAGAACCAAAGGCCUCCAUAGGCCUUUCCUGACUAGGAAAAGACAAAGGACAGAAGGGAGGAGUGAAAAGGAACAUUGGGCCAUCAGGAGAGAAGUGAACAAGUAGUUAACUCUCGAGUUCAUGAAUAAUGAUCUACUGUGCUACCCUCUGAAGAAGUA